RNAcentral lists this ribosomal RNA (253 nucleotides) under uncultured bacterium. Its description in RNAcentral is "partial 16S ribosomal RNA". The stretch from base 27 to 253 matches the Rfam family "Bacterial small subunit ribosomal RNA", at positions 550 to 776 of the family's 1533-position model. The record is from RNAcentral.
UACCAGCACCCCGAGUGGUCGGGGCGAUUAUUGGGCGUAAAGCGCUCGCAGGUGGUUCGUUGCGUCGUGCGUGAAAGCCCCCGGCUCAACUGGGGAGGGUCGUGCGAUACGGGCGAACUGGAGGCCAGUAGGGGGAUGCGGAAUUCCGGGUGUAGUGGUGGAAUGCGUAGAGAUCCGGAGGAACACCAGCGGCGAAGGCGGCAUCCUGGACUGGUCCUGACACUCAUGAGCGAAAGCGUGGGGAGCGAUCCGG